Molecule: long non-coding RNA, 522 nt
Filed under: Homo sapiens (human)
Lineage: Eukaryota; Metazoa; Chordata; Mammalia; Primates; Hominidae
Description: non-protein coding lnc-CDC42EP5-5:1
Source: RNAcentral
GGAAUUUGAUCUAUUCUAAUUCUAAGUUAAAAAGCCAUAUUUGGCUAGUGGCUACCAUAUUAGAUGACUCAGAUAUAGAAUACACUUCAUCUCUGCAAAAUUUUGUUGAGUAACAGCAAAGACGUGGAAUCAACCCAAAUGCCCAUCAAUGAUAGACUGGAUAAAAAUAAAGUUGUACAUAUACACCACGGAAUACUACGCAGUCAUAAAAAGGAAUGAGAUCAUAUCAUUUGCAGAGACAUGAAUGAAGCUAGAAGACAUUAUCCUCAGCAAACUAAUGCAGGAACAGAAAACCAGACACCGCAUGUUUUCACUUAUAAGUGGGAGCUGAACAAUGAGAACACAUGGACACAGGGAGGGGAACACAUUCACUGGGGCCUGUCAGAGGAGGGCAGGGGGUAUGGAGAGCAUUAGGGAAGAGAGCUAAUGCCUGCUGGGCUUAAUACCUAGGUGACGGUUUGAUAGGUGCAGCAAACCACCAUGGCACACGUUUACCUACGUAACAAACCUGCACAUCCUGAG